UGACUACUACGUGUUUGAUCUGGUUUGG
Molecule: non-coding RNA, 28 nt
Filed under: Mus musculus (house mouse)
Lineage: Eukaryota; Metazoa; Chordata; Mammalia; Rodentia; Muridae
Source: RNAcentral